Molecule: non-coding RNA, 92 nt
Filed under: Methylobacterium radiotolerans JCM 2831
Lineage: Bacteria; Pseudomonadati; Pseudomonadota; Alphaproteobacteria; Hyphomicrobiales; Methylobacteriaceae
Source: RNAcentral
GCGGGCCGAGAUGGGAUAGGGUCGCUGCGAGGUUGAUGACCGGUUCGUAAUAACGCUUCAGGACCCGGGGGCGGUACCCGGCGCCUCCACCA